GACGAACGCUGGCGGCGUGCUUAACACAUGCAAGUCGAACGGAAAGGCCCGGCUUUUGUGGGGUGCUCGAGUGGCGAACGGGUGAGUAACACGUGAGUAACCUGCCCUUGACUUUGGGAUAACUUCAGGAAACUGGGGCUAAUACCGGAUAGGAGCUCCUGCUGCAUGGGGGGGGGUGGAAAGUUUCGGCGGUGGGGGAUGGACUCGCGGCUUAUCAGCUUGUUGGUGGGGUAGUGGCUGACCAAGGCUUUGACGGGUAGCCGGCCUGAGAGGGUGGCCGGCCACAUUGGGACUGAGAUACGGCCCAGACUCCUACGGGAGGCAGCAGUGGGGAAUAUUGCACAAUGGGCGGAAGCCUGAUGCAGCAACGCCGCGUGCGGGAUGACGGCCUUCGGGUUGUAAACCGCUUUCGCCUGUGACGAAGCGUGCGUGACGGUAAUGGGUAAAGAAGCACCGGCUAACUACGUG
Molecule: ribosomal RNA, 468 nt
Filed under: uncultured bacterium
Lineage: Bacteria
Description: partial 16S ribosomal RNA
Rfam family: Bacterial small subunit ribosomal RNA
Source: RNAcentral